RNAcentral lists this ribosomal RNA (326 nucleotides) under uncultured eukaryote. RNAcentral describes it as "partial 18S ribosomal RNA". It matches the Rfam family "Eukaryotic small subunit ribosomal RNA", at positions 1470 to 1796 of the family's 1831-position model. The record is from RNAcentral.
CCCUUAGAUGUUCUGGGCUGCACGCGCGCUACACUGAUGCGUUCAACAAGCUGGACCUUGUCCGAGAGGAAAUCGGGGGAAUCUUUUGAAAACGUAUCGUGAUGGGGAUAGAUUAUUGUAAUUAUUAAUCUUCAACGAGGAAUUCCUAGUAAGCAUGAAUCAUCAGCUCGUGCUGAUUACGUCCCUGCCCUUUGUACACACCGCCCGUCGCUCCUUCCGAUUGAAUGCUCAGGUGAGCCAUUCGGACUUUCAUCAUGCUGGUUUCCAGUUUUGAUGAAGGAAAGUCUUGCGAACCUUAUCAUUUAGAGGAAGGAGAAGUCGUAACA